GACGAACGCUGGCGGCGUGCUUAACACAUGCAAGUCGAGCGGUAAGGCCCUUUCGGGGGUACGACGAGCGGCGAACGGGUAGGAGUAACAACGUGGGUGGACCUCGCCCUUACGUCUCUGGGAGUAAAGCCUGGGAAACGUAGGGUCGUAAUACCGGAUAUGACUCCAUAACGCAUGUUGUGGGGUGGAAAGCCUUGUGCGGCUAGGGA
Molecule: ribosomal RNA, 209 nt
Filed under: uncultured bacterium
Lineage: Bacteria
Description: partial 16S ribosomal RNA
Rfam family: Bacterial small subunit ribosomal RNA
Source: RNAcentral